GAUGAACGCUGGCGGCGUGCCUAAUACAUGCAAGUAGAACGCUGAAGGAAGGAGCUUGCUCUUUCCGGAUGAGUUGCGAACGGGUGAGUAACGCGUAGGUAACCUGCCUGGUAGCGGGGGAUAACUAUUGGAAACGAUAGCUAAUACCGCAUAACAGUAGAUGUUGCAUGAUAUCUACUUAAAAGGUGCAAUUGCACCACUACCAGAUGGGCCUGCGUUGUAUUAGCUAGUUGGUGAGGUAACGGCUCACCAAGGCGACGAUACAUAGCCGACCUGAGAGGGUGAUCGGCCACACUUGGACUGGGACACCGCCCAGACCCCUACGGGAGGCAGCAGUAGGGAAUCUUCGGAAAUGGACGGAAGUCUGACCGAGCAACGCCGCGUGGGUGAAGAAGGUUUUCGGAUCGUAAAGCUCUUUUGUAAGAGAAGAACGAGUGUGAGGGUGGAAAGUUCACACUGUGACGGUAUCUUACCAGAAAGGGACGGCUAACUACGUG
RNAcentral lists this ribosomal RNA (497 nucleotides) under uncultured bacterium. RNAcentral's name for it is "partial 16S ribosomal RNA". It matches the Rfam family "Bacterial small subunit ribosomal RNA", at positions 28 to 507 of the family's 1533-position model. The record is from RNAcentral.